AAUGAACGCUGGCGGCGUGGAUUAGGCAUGCAAGUCGAACGCGAAAGUUCCCUUCGGGGAGCGAGUAGAGUGGCGAAAGGGUGAGUAAUGCUUGGAUGACCUGCCCUCGAGACGGGGACAACAGUUCGAAAGGACUGCUAAUACCCGAUAGUCCGGUUUAGAUGCGUCUAGAUCGGUAAAUGGUGCUUCCGCUCGAGAGGGGUUCAAGUCCUAUCAGCUUGUGGUGAGGUAACGGCUCACCAAGGCGAUGACGGGUAGCCGAACUGAGAGGUUGCCGGCCACAUGGGAACUGAGACACUGUCCUGACU
RNAcentral lists this ribosomal RNA (308 nucleotides) under uncultured bacterium. RNAcentral describes it as "bacterial SSU rRNA". It matches the Rfam family "Bacterial small subunit ribosomal RNA", at positions 29 to 337 of the family's 1533-position model. The record is from RNAcentral.